This is a non-coding RNA of Lonchura striata (white-rumped munia), 358 nucleotides long. Lineage: Eukaryota; Metazoa; Chordata; Aves; Passeriformes; Estrildidae. The record is from RefSeq and is a predicted model, not a curated record.
CAGAGAUGCUGAAGCUGAGGUUCUUUUCUGCUUUAGUUUAGAGGAGUCUCUAAAGAGAGCACAAGUAGCUCCACUGUUCAAGGGAAAAUAUUUUUACAUUACACCUGGAAUUUGUCCCAGUCUUUCCACCAUGAAAGCUAUUGUGGAGUGUGCAGGAGGAAAAGUAUUAUCUAAACAACCUUCUUUUCGAAAACUCAUGGAGCAUAAGCAGAAUAAAAGUUUGCCAGAGAUAAUCUUGAUUUCCUGUGAAAAUGACCUUCAUUUAUGUCGAGAAUAUUUUGCACGAGGCAUAGAUGUCCACAAUGCUGAGUUUGUCCUGACUGGAGUGCUUACUCAAACACUGGAUUAUGAAUCAUAU